AGAGUUUGAUUAUGGCUCAGAUUGAACGCUGGCGGCAGGCCUAACACAUGCAAGUCGAGCGGUAGAGAGGUGCUUGCACCUCUUGAGAGCGGCGGACGGGUGAGUAAUGCCUAGGAAUCUGCCUGGUAGUGGGGGAUAACGCUCGGAAACGGACGCUAAUACCGCAUACGUCCUACGGGAGAAAGCAGGGGACCUUCGGGCCUUGCGCUAUCAGAUGAGCCUAGGUCGGAUUAGCUAGUUGGUGGGGUAAUGGCUCACCAAGGCGACGAUCCGUAACUGGUCUGAGAGGAUGAUCAGUCACACUGGAACUGAGACACGGUCCAGACUCCUACGGGAGGCAGCAGUGGGGAAUAUUGGACAAUGGGCGAAAGCCUGAUCCAGCCAUGCCGCGUGUGUGAAGAAGGUCUUCGGAUUGUAAAGCACUUUAAGUUGGGAGGAAGGGCAUUAACCUAAUACGUUAGUGUUUUGACGUUACCGACAGAAUAAGCACCGGCUAACUCUGUGCCAGCAGCCGCGGUAAUACAGAGGGUGCAAGCGUUAAUCGGAAUUACUGGGCGUAAAGCGCGCGUAGGUGGUUCGUUAAGUUGGAUGUGAAAUCCCCGGGCUCAACCUGGGAACUGCAUUCAAAACUGUCGAGCUAGAGUAUGGUAGAGGGUGGUGGAAUUUCCUGUGUAGCGGUGAAAUGCGUAGAUAUAGGAAGGAACACCAGUGGCGAAGGCGACCACCUGGACUGAUACUGACACUGAGGUGCGAAAGCGUGGGGAGCAAACAGGAUUAGAUACCCUGGUAGUCCACGCCGUAAACGAUGUCAACUAGCCGUUGGGAGCCUUGAGCUCUUAGUGGCGCAGCUAACGCAUUAAGUUGACCGCCUGGGGAGUACGGCCGCAAGGUUAAAACUCAAAUGAAUUGACGGGGGCCCGCACAAGCGGUGGAGCAUGUGGUUUAAUUC
This 949-nucleotide ribosomal RNA is filed under the name uncultured Pseudomonas sp. RNAcentral's name for it is "bacterial SSU rRNA". It matches the Rfam family "Bacterial small subunit ribosomal RNA", at positions 8 to 952 of the family's 1533-position model. Lineage: Bacteria; Pseudomonadati; Pseudomonadota; Gammaproteobacteria; Pseudomonadales; Pseudomonadaceae. The record is from RNAcentral.